This 407-nucleotide ribosomal RNA is filed under the name uncultured bacterium. RNAcentral describes it as "bacterial SSU rRNA". It matches the Rfam family "Bacterial small subunit ribosomal RNA", at positions 29 to 424 of the family's 1533-position model. The record is from RNAcentral.
AAUCAACGCUGGCGGCGUGCCUAACACAUGCAAGUCGAACGCGAAAGUCCCGCAAGGGAUUAGUAGAGUGGCAAACGGGUGAGUAACACGUGGGUGACCUGCCUUCGAGCGGGGGAUAACAUCCCGAAAGGGAUGCUAAUACCGCAUGACAUCCUGCCUUUUAAGAGGCGGAGAUCAAAGCCGGGGAUCGCAAGACCUGCGGACUCGAAGAGGGGCCCGCGCCCGAUUAGCUAGUUGGGAGGUAACGGCUCACCAAGGCAACGAUCGGUAGCCGGCCUGAGAGGGCGGACGGCCACACUGGGACUGAGACACGGCCCAGACUCCUACGGGAGGCAGCAGUGGGGAAUUGUUCGCAAUGGGCGCAAGCCUGACGACGCAACGCCGCGUGGAGGAUGAAGACCUCGGUC